UGGGGAAUAUUGCACAAUGGGGGAAACCCUGAUGCAGCGACGCCGCGUGAGCGAAGAAGUAUUUCGGUAUGUAAAGCUCUAUCAGCAGGGAAGAAACUGACGGUACCUGACUAAGAAGCACCGGCUAAAUACGUGCCAGCAGCCGCGGUAAUACGUAUGGUGCAAGCGUUAUCCGGAUUUACUGGGUGUAAAGGGAGCGUAGACGGAUAGGCAAGUCUGAAGUGAAAGCCCGGGGCUCAACCCCGGGACUGCUUUGGAAACUGUUUAUCUAGAGUGCUGGAGAGGUAAGUGGAAUUCCUAGUGUAGCGGUGAAAUGCGUAGAUAUUAGGAGGAACACCAGUGGCGAAGGCGGCUUACUGGACAGUAACUGACGUUGAGGCUCGAAAGCGUGGGGAGCAAACA
Molecule: ribosomal RNA, 402 nt
Filed under: uncultured bacterium
Lineage: Bacteria
Description: bacterial SSU rRNA
Rfam family: Bacterial small subunit ribosomal RNA
Source: RNAcentral